CUAAGCAGCAAGAUGCAGUAAACAACGAAAUCA
RNAcentral lists this small RNA (33 nucleotides) under Arabidopsis thaliana (thale cress). RNAcentral describes it as "ATSL095620". Lineage: Eukaryota; Viridiplantae; Streptophyta; Magnoliopsida; Brassicales; Brassicaceae. The record is from RNAcentral.